UAAAUUGCGUCACUCCCAGUAACGACUAUAUCCGAUAAUAUAAAUAUAUUAUUAAAUUAAGCUAUUCGAAUUGCUUCGAAAUAAUUUUAACUUCAAAAAUUUUUCGACGCCAUCCCCUUCUUUUCUUGCAAUAUUUUGAUGAUCUUACUUAGCUGUUCUAGCCAACCGAUGAAAGCUUGUUGCAUGUCGGCAAAUUCUUGAGGCAUCAAAGCUAAGCUUUGCAAAAUACUGUUGACGAAAAUUUCAUUCCGCUCUCGCAUUAACCGUAGUAAAUCUCUGCUAUCGUUUAUCUCGCCAUUCGUAAUGGAAAUUUGACGCCAUAAAUAACUAAUUUCAUUUUUAAUGGUGGAGCUGAGACUUGUCACCACUUCAAGUUGAAUGCUUGUCAUGUUUUUCUGGACUGUGUCGAAAUGUGUCUUCAGAAAAUCAAGCAAUUGCGCUGGCUGUUUAUGAGUUACUAUACUAUCCAUAUCUUGUGUGAGUGGCUUUGAAAAGCUUUGGCACUUGCUUAAAUUUUCAAAGCUAUCAUUUACCUUAUUGUAACUGCUAAUCAUUUCGCUAUGGAAUUGAUGCACUGAAAUUUCGUGGAUGUUGAGCCUUUUCAAAAUUUCCGCAGCAUCGGAAUGUACACUCUGCUCGACUUCUUGAAGGCGUAACGUGGUUUCAGUUUGUGCUAAAAACAGGUAUAUUAAGUUGGCACGCAGAAGGAGAUGUCGGACACACUACAACAUAUAUAUAUGUGUAUAUAAAUGAUCAGCGUGACGAGCUGAUCUCACUAAGAAGCUGAUCAUUUGUCGGAAGCGCCGAUAUUGGGCAACUACUUAUAACAUGUAGCUGUCAUACAAACUCAAGUUCUUAUAUGGAAAACUUUAUUAUUUGACAAGAUAUUCGGCAUAUAUUAUAUAUCCAAAGGCAUCGCUAUAAUCAUAUUGUUCAGUUUGGACCACUGCAGCAUAUAGCAUACAUACAAACUGACCGAUAAAAAUCGUGAUACAUUUUUUUUUAACACUUUUAUGCAAUAAACAAUGCACCUAUAGAGGGUAUUAUAGCUUCGGUGCAACC
Non-coding RNA from Bactrocera oleae (olive fruit fly), 1062 nucleotides. Lineage: Eukaryota; Metazoa; Arthropoda; Insecta; Diptera; Tephritidae. The record is from RefSeq and is a predicted model, not a curated record.